RNAcentral lists this ribosomal RNA (433 nucleotides) under uncultured bacterium. Its description in RNAcentral is "partial 16S ribosomal RNA". It matches the Rfam family "Bacterial small subunit ribosomal RNA", at positions 29 to 507 of the family's 1533-position model. The record is from RNAcentral.
AGCGAACGCUGGCGGCAGGCCUAACACAUGCAAGUCGAACGAACUCUUCGGAGUUAGUGGCGGACGGGUGAGUAACACGUGGGAACGUGCCUUUUGGUUCGGUAUCACUCAGGGAAACUUGUGCUCAUACCGCAUGUGCCCUUCGGGGGUAAGAUUUAUCGCCAUUAGAGCGGCCCGCGUCUGAUUCGCUAGUUGGUGAGGUACCGGCUAACCAUGGCGACGAUCAGUAGCUGGUCUGAGAGGAUGACCAGCCACGCUGGGACUGAGACACGGCCCAGACUCCGACGGGAGGCAGCAGUGGGGAAUAUUGCGCAAUGGGCGCAAGCCUGACGCAGCCAUGCCGCGUGAAUGAUGAAGGUCUUAGGAUUGUAAAAUUCUUUCACCGGGGACGAUAAUGACGGUAACCGGAGAAGAAGCCCCGGCUAACUUCGUG